This 334-nucleotide long non-coding RNA is filed under the name Androctonus crassicauda. The record is from RNAcentral. Lineage: Eukaryota; Metazoa; Arthropoda; Arachnida; Scorpiones; Buthidae.
UCAUAAGGAAGCACACUUCUUAGAUAUAAGUUUUAAAUUCAAAAAAGAAGAGGUUAAAACUGAAGUGUAUAGGAAACUAUCCCAUCGACCAGUAAUUAUCCCUAGAUGGUCCCAAGAUCCUUCAUCUUACAAAGGUGCAGCAUUCAGAUUGCUGUUUGGAAGAGUGUUUAUUUACUCCUCAGACCAACAAAGCUUACAAACAGAAAUGGACUAUAUAUACAAUUUAGGACACCAACAUGGAUACACAAAAGGAUUUAUGAAAAGCAUAUGUGUAAGGGUAGAGCAGUCUUUGAAGAAACAAGAAGCUGAAAUGACAUCUGCCCCAAACCUAAAC